AUUGAACGCUGGCGGCAGGCCUAACACAUGCAAGUCGAACGAGUGGCGGACGGGUGAGUAAUGUCUGGGAAACUUCCCGACGGAGGGGGAUACCUACUGGAAACGGUAGCUAAUACCGCAUACCAUCGGAUGUGCCCAGAUGGGAUUAGCUAGUAGGUGGGGUAAUGGCUCACCUCUGCGACGAUCCCUAUCUGGUCUGAGAGGAUUACCAACAACACGGGAACUGAGACACGGUCCAGACUCCAACGGGAGGCAGCAGUGGGGAAUAUUGCACAAUGGGCGAAAGCCUGAUGCAGCCAUGCCGCGUGUAUGAAGAAGGCCUUCGGGUUGUAAAGUACUUUCAGCGAGGAGGCGUUACUCGCAGAAGAAGCACCGGCUAACUCCGUGCCAGCAGCCGCGGUAAUUC
Molecule: ribosomal RNA, 406 nt
Filed under: uncultured bacterium
Lineage: Bacteria
Description: partial 16S ribosomal RNA
Rfam family: Bacterial small subunit ribosomal RNA
Source: RNAcentral